AGAGUUUGAUCAUGGCUCAGAACGAACGCUGGCGGCGUGCUUAACACAUGCAAGUCGAGUGCGCGUGCCGUAGCAAUACGGCAUGGCGCACGGCGCACGGGUGCGUAACACGUGGGCAAUCUGCCCUCCGGUGGGGAAUAACCCCGCGAAAGCGGGGCUAAUUCCGCAUAACAUUCCCUGGACUCCGGUUCGGGGAUUCAAAGCAGUGAUGCGCCGGAGGAGGAGCCCGCGCCCGAUUAGCUAGUUGGUGAGGUAACGGCUCACCAAGGCAAUGAUCGGUAGCUGGUCUGAGAGGAUGGCCAGCCACACUGGAACUGAGACACGGUCCAGACUCCUACGGGAGGCAGCAGUGGGGAAUCUUGCGCAAUGGGCGAAAGCCUGACGCAGCGACGCCGCGUGGGGGAUGAAGCUUUUCGGAGUGUAAACCCCUUUCGACUGGGACGAAUGCCCGCAAGGGAGUGACGGUACCGGUAGAAGAAGCCCCGGCUAACUACGUGCCAGCAGCCGCGGUAAGACGUAGGGGGCCAGCGUUGUUCGGAAUUACUGGGUGUAAAGGGUUCGUAGGCGGUGUGGCAAGUCGGGAGUGAAAUUUCUGGGCUUAACCCAGAAGCUGCUUCCGAAACUGCUGUGCUAGAGUGCGGGAGAGGCGCGUGGAAUUGCAGGUGUAGCGGUGAAAUGCGUAGAUAUCUGCAGGAACACCCGUGGCGAAAGCGGCGCGCUGGACCGUUACUGACGCUGAGGAACGAAAGCUAGGGGAGCAAACAGGAUUAGAUACCCUAGUAGUCC
Molecule: ribosomal RNA, 786 nt
Filed under: uncultured bacterium
Lineage: Bacteria
Description: bacterial SSU rRNA
Rfam family: Bacterial small subunit ribosomal RNA
Source: RNAcentral